This 492-nucleotide ribosomal RNA is filed under the name uncultured bacterium. RNAcentral's name for it is "partial 16S ribosomal RNA". It matches the Rfam family "Bacterial small subunit ribosomal RNA", at positions 29 to 507 of the family's 1533-position model. The record is from RNAcentral.
AGUGAACGCUGGCGGUAGGCCUAACACAUGCAAGUCGAACGGCAGCACAGUAAGAGCUUGCUCUUACGGGUGGCGAGUGGCGGACGGGUGAGGAAUACAUCGGAAUCUACUUUUUCGUGGGGGAUAACGUAGGGAAACUUACGCUAAUACCGCAUACGACCUACGGGUGAAAGCAGGGGAUCUUCGGACCUUGCGCGAUUGAAUGAGCCGAUGUCGGAUUAGCUAGUUGGCGGGGUAAAGGCCCACCAAGGCGACGAUCCGUAGCUGGUCUGAGAGGAUGAUCAGCCACACUGGAACUGAGACACGGUCCAGACUCCUACGGGAGGCAGCAGUGGGGAAUAUUGGACAAUGGGGGCAAGCCUGAUCCAGCCAUACCGCGUGGGUGAAGAAGGCCUUCAGGUUGUAAAGCCCUUUUGUUGGGAAAGAAAAGCAGCAGGUUAAUACCCCGCUGUUCUGACGGUACCCAAAGAAUAAGCACCGGCUAACUUCGUG